RNA transcript from Solanum tuberosum (potato), 2324 nucleotides. It is a transcript of the gene named AP2-like ethylene-responsive transcription factor AIL5, with no coding region annotated. Lineage: Eukaryota; Viridiplantae; Streptophyta; Magnoliopsida; Solanales; Solanaceae. The transcript is spliced from 10 exons. The record is from RefSeq and is a predicted model, not a curated record.
CUGAUCAUCAUCAAAUAUCAAAUUAAAUAAGUAUGAAGAGAAAUUAUUAGUAAUAUGUUUCAACCAUUUUUAUCCCCACAACACAAGCGAGACGCCUCGAUUCUCGUGCAUACUUAUCUCUCUCUCUCAUAUAUAUCUCUAUAUUAAUGUCUUACUCUUUCACAUUUUACAUUUAAGCCUCUAAUUUCCCCUCUAAAAAUCUUGAAGCACCAAAUUUUUAGCACUUGUACGUUUCCCAAAGAAAAAAAAGAAGAAGAAGCAUUUCACGUUCACCAACGAUAAUGGAUAUGAAUUCUUCUUGUGAGAAGUGGCUUGGCUUCUCACUUUCCAAUAUCAACAACUUGCCACCUUCUACUACUAAUUCUUCACAACUCUCCAUCUUCCAAGCUUUCAACUCCAACCCUAAUAGUUGGGAUGUGAGGCAAAAUGAAAAUGGUGCACCAAAGCUUGAGAAUUUGUUGGGAUCUUCUUAUUGUGAGAGUAAUACAACUACUAGUUGUGAAUAUGGGUCAGAGUUGAAGAGGAUAGCAGCUACUUUUCUACCUACCUUUACUGAUGAUCACAAAGACAAGUUGCCUCUAAUUGUCACUCAACCUAAGAAGCCACACGAAUCAUUUGGACAACGCACUUCUAUUUACAGAGGUGUUACUAGACAUAGAUGGACAGGAAGAUAUGAAGCUCAUUUGUGGGAUAAUAGUUGUAGAAGACAAGGACAAAGUAGAAAAGGGAGACAAGUUUACUUAGGUGGUUAUGAUAAAGAAGAGAAAGCAGCUAGAGCUUAUGAUCUUGCUGCCCUCAAGUAUUGGGGUCCGACCACUACCACUAACUUUCCGGUAUCAAACUAUGAGAGGGAGCUUGAAGAAAUGAAGAACAUGACAAGACAGGAAUUUGUUGCAUCUCUUAGAAGGAAAAGUAGUGGAUUUUCAAGAGGAGCUUCUAUCUAUAGAGGUGUCACACGACACCACCAACAUGGUAGAUGGCAAGCAAGAAUCGGUAGAGUGGCUGGAAACAAAGAUCUAUAUCUUGGAACUUUUAGCACCCAAGAGGAAGCAGCAGAGGCUUAUGAUAUCGCUGCAAUCAAAUUCAGAGGACUAAAUGCAGUAACAAAUUUCGACAUUAGUCGUUACGAUGUUAAAAGUAUUGCUAGUAGCAAUCUCCCUGUUGGAGGAAUGAGUAACAAAUCCAAAAGCUCAUCGGAUGAAAGUACUAAAAAUGUCGAAAAUCGACCCAACGAUAUUUCCUCUGCUCCUAAUUUCCCAUCACAGAAUCCGAGUAUGGUCAACUUAGGUUUCGGAUUGCCUAUAAAGCAAGAUGCAUCCGAUUUCUGGUCAAGCCUUGGAUACAAUAACGAUCAAAACAAAAAUGGUUCGUUAUUUCAGGGUACAACUAUGAAUGCACAAGGUACUACAUUCUUCAGCAAUGAAGUCAACAAUAGUAAUGUCAUGUUCAAUGAACAAGGGUACUAUAAUCAUGAUCAACAGCAACAAAGUGGCGGUUCUAGUAGUGAAAUAAGUAUGGCUUUAAAUAGCAAUAUUGCCACUACAACUACUACUAUUGAUAGCUCUAGUUUUGGUAAUUGGAUGACACCUUCUCUUCAUUCAUUCCAAAGUAGUGCAAACAAUAACCUAGCACCAUUUCAUACCCCAAUAUUUGGCAUGGAAUAAUGGUAAGCUAUAUUGCUCGGAUUUUUCAAACAAUUUAACAGGUGUUGAAUUCGUCAAAAAUAAUGUAUUUUUGAAGAAGGAAGAGUCUGAGCAACUAAGAUGGCAAGGGUAGGGAAAUGAAGGGACAAGUUUUGAUUUUUACCUUUUUUUGUGUGUUUGAAUGGGGUUUUAGUUUGUCACCUACCAGAGGAGAAGCUAAGUGGAUUGGUCAAAAAAGUGAAAAUUGCUUUUUGCAUGGGCAAAGAAUGGGACGUACAAUCAUUUCACAGCAAAUAAAGCAAGGGGACCCGGUCCUCUGCAGAGUAUGCUCGUCUAGGGUCAUAUGCUAUACAAUUGUAAAGCUGUAUGCGUCAGAAGGUUGGUGAGACGCCAGUGUCCUGAACCAAUCACAACGAACGAGGUUGCUUGUACGUUGGACAAUAGCUCUUCAUAGUUGAUAUAUUCAACAUACAAACAACAAAUUAUUCAUUCAUUCAAAGAGAGACUUUCAAGCUUCAAAACAGCAGAGACCUGAUAGAGUGUUUAUUGCUUUUGUACCAGCUGUUACUUUGGGUGCUUGUAAUCGUGCUUAUAUUGUCAGAAUCAUGUCGUUUGUGAUAGAAACAUUUCAAGCUUGUGUGAAUCAUUGUAAGAACUUAGUUGUGAGUAAUUUAGUGUCUU